AAAAAAACGAUUCUAGAACUGGAUGUGACAUACUCUAGUACAAUGAAUCUGGAUAGAGGUAUAUCCAGAUUCGUAGUACUAGGAUAUGUCACAUCCAGUACUAGAUUGAUUUUUUU
RNAcentral lists this microRNA precursor (116 nucleotides) under Oryza sativa (Asian cultivated rice). RNAcentral describes it as "miR5788 stem-loop (osa-MIR5788)". The record is from miRBase by way of RNAcentral. Lineage: Eukaryota; Viridiplantae; Streptophyta; Magnoliopsida; Poales; Poaceae.